RNAcentral lists this ribosomal RNA (1017 nucleotides) under uncultured organism. RNAcentral describes it as "bacterial SSU rRNA". It matches the Rfam family "Bacterial small subunit ribosomal RNA", at positions 355 to 1375 of the family's 1533-position model. The record is from RNAcentral.
UGAGGAAUAUUGGUCAAUGGACGAGAGUCUGAACCAGCCAAGUAGCGUGAAGGAUGACUGCCCUAUGGGUUGUAAACUUCUUUUAUACGGGAAUAAAGUGAGGUACGUGUGCCUUUUUGUAUGUACCGUAUGAAUAAGGAUCGGCUAACUCCGUGCCAGCAGCCGCGGUAAUACGGAGGAUCCGAGCGUUAUCCGGAUUUAUUGGGUUUAAAGGGAGCGUAGGCGGACGCUUAAGUCAGUUGUGAAAGUUUGCGGCUCAACCGUAAAAUUGCAGUUGAUACUGGGUGUCUUGAGUACAGUAGAGGCAGGCGGAAUUCGUGGUGUAGCGGUGAAAUGCUUAGAUAUCACGAAGAACUCCGAUUGCGAGGGCAGCCUGCUGGACUGUAACUGACGCUGAUGCUCGAAAGUGUGGGUAUCAAACAGGAUUAGAUACCCUGGUAGUUCACACAGUAAACGAUGAAUACUCGCUGUUUGCGAUAUACAGUAAGCGGCCAAGCGAAAGCGUUAAGUAUUCCACCUGGGGAGUACGCCGGCAACGGUGAAACUCAAAGGAAUUGACGGGGGCCCGCACAAGCGGAGGAACAUGUGGUUUAAUUCGAUGAUACGCGAGGAACCUUACCCGGGCUUGAAUUGCAACUGAAUGAUGUGGAGACAUGUCAGCCGCAAGGCAGUUGUGAAGGUGCUGCAUGGUUGUCGUCAGCUCGUGCCGUGAGGUGUCGGCUUAAGUGCCAUAACGAGCGCAACCCUUAUCGAUAGUUACCAUCAGGUUAUGCUGGGGACUCUGUCGAGACUGCCGUCGUAAGAUGUGAGGAAGGUGGGGAUGACGUCAAAUCAGCACGGCCCUUACGUCCGGGGCUACACACGUGUUACAAUGGGGGGUACAGAAGGCAGCUACACGGCGACGUGAUGCUAAUCCCGAAAGCCUCUCUCAGUUCGGAUUGGAGUCUGCAACCCGACUCCAUGAAGCUGGAUUCGCUAGUAAUCGCGCAUCAGCCACGGCGCGGUGAAUACGUUCCC